RNAcentral lists this ribosomal RNA (253 nucleotides) under uncultured bacterium. RNAcentral's name for it is "partial 16S ribosomal RNA". It matches the Rfam family "Bacterial small subunit ribosomal RNA", at positions 524 to 776 of the family's 1533-position model. The record is from RNAcentral.
GACAGAGGGUGCAAACGUUGUUCGGAAUUACUGGGCGUAAAGCGCGUGUAGGCGGCUAAGUAAGUCGGGCGUGAAAUCCCACGGCUCAACCGUGGAAGUGCACUCGAAACUGCAUAGCUAGAGUCCUGGAGAGGAAGGUGGAAUGCUUGGUGUAGAGGUGAAAUUCGUAGAUAUCGGGAGGAACACCUGUGGCGAAGGCGGCCACCUGGACGACAACUGACGCUGAGACGCGAAAGCGUGGGUAGCAAACAGG